GUAGCUCCCAAGCUCCUCCACAGGAAGGUGUGAUCCACCCCACUUCACAGAGGCUGAACCGUUAGCUGGAGAAGUGGAAACUCCCCACCUCCACCACUGUUUCCCAGCAGCCUGAUCCGGCAUCCACUCCUCCCUGAGACUGGGAGCUGUUGCAGGAUAGAGAGUCUCUUACUUAUUUCUGCAUCUUAGCACUUGGCAUGGGACCUGGCCCUGAGCAGCCUGGAGGCUCCUCUGCCCAGCACUGACCCUAGAAGGCUUUGCAAGCCCAGAAGGACAAUACCAAGGACUUGAACUUGGACUUGCAUCUUCAAGGAGCCCAGGACCACAGAACUGCUCGUUUUCACUGGUUUCCUUUGUAGAUUCUCCUGCUCACUUUCACGGCAGGUGCCGUGCUGGCCCCCAGUGGAAGCCGAGGCAGGAAGAGUGCCACACGGAUGUUGCGUUACAGAACUACCGGACCGCAGGAAGAGCAGGCAGGCUCAGAGCCCCUGGCCUGAAGAGCCGUCAGGGAGUAGGAAGGGCGGAAAGACCGGGUCUGGGUUUGUUCGGGGUGCUAGGGGAACCGAGGCAGCGCGGGGAGAAGGCGCCCGGCCCCACCUGUGCUGGGAAGUCACUAAGGCACAGAGGAUGGGUAGGGACAGCUCGCAGGGGAAUCCACACACGGUGACACCAAUGCCAACCUUCGGGCCCAAAUAACUCCUUUGUGCACCAAAGCGCUGGCUUCAAAACUGUCCUCAAGAUUCAAGGAGAAAGAAACUUGGUUGUUUUUAAGCAUGGGAAACUAAAGGCAAUUAAAAAAAGAGGGGGGAAAAAACAUCAAAUGUCAUUAGACUUCAUCAGAAGCAUUUCUCACUCUGACAAAAGAGAAAUAACAAAGAGCGUGUUCCCGUUAUGUUUCCAGAGGGACGGUUGUGUAUGGCAGUGGAGAAGGAAGUCAUAAAAGAUGCCAGGGAAAUGCAAUAACUGGAUAUUUCAGUGCAUGGGAGUCUUAUUCUUUGGGGGCAGGGAAAACCACAGCGGAACACUUUGGACGCCCUACUUAAUUUUGAAAGAAAAGGAAAAUUAUUCGCGAUUUCAAUGGCAGCCCGAUCACAGGCCUGUACCACCGCCUCGGCAAGGAAAUUAGUUGCCAUGGCAACUUCAGGUUGCAUCAUUAAGAAUUUUUAAAAUGUUGGGAGUUGGAAGGCAGGGCUUUAAGCACUGAAGGAAGAGGUAGAGAGAGAGAGAUGAGAAGACAGACUUGAGAAGUAAAAGAAGUGGCCCAGGGACAAGUGGCAAUCUUGGCAAAAGAGAGGAAAUUAGGGGAGUGGGGCCUCCUCUCCCCACAAGUGGGUGCUGCUGCCGUCUGUCCUAGAAUCCAGAAGGAAACAGCGUCUCACCCCCUCCUGCUGGAGGUCCUCUUUGUUUCCUGCCCUAAUUUGAUUAUUUUUU
Non-coding RNA from Microcebus murinus (gray mouse lemur), 1431 nucleotides. NCBI's taxonomy places the organism in Eukaryota, Metazoa, Chordata, Mammalia, Primates, Cheirogaleidae. The record is from RefSeq and is a predicted model, not a curated record.